GACGAACGCUGGCGGCGUGCUUAACACAUGCAAGUCGAACGGAAAGGCCCUGCUUUUGUGGGGUGCUCGAGUGGCGAACGGGUGAGUAACACGUGAGUAACCUGCCCUUGACUUUGGGAUAACUUCAGGAAACUGGGGCUAAUACCGGAUAGGAGCUCCUGCUGCAUGGUGGGGGUUGGAAAGUUUCGGCGGUUGGGGAUGGACUCGCGGCUUAUCAGCUUGUUGGUGGGGUAGUGGCUUACCAAGGUUUUGACGGGUAGCCGGCCUGGGAGGGUGACCGGCCACAUGGGGACUGAGAUACGGCCCAGACUCCUACGGGAGGCAGCAGUGGGGAAUAUUGCACAAUGGGCGGAAGCCUGAUGCAGCAACGCCGCGUGCGGGAUGACGGCCUUCGGGUUGUAAACCGCUUUCGCCUGUGACGAAGCGUGAGUGACGGUAAUGGGUAAAGAAGCACCGGCUAACUACGUG
Molecule: ribosomal RNA, 468 nt
Filed under: uncultured bacterium
Lineage: Bacteria
Description: partial 16S ribosomal RNA
Rfam family: Bacterial small subunit ribosomal RNA
Source: RNAcentral